GCCUUGAUGGUGAAAUGGUAUACACGCGAGAUUCAAAAUUUCGUGCUGCAGAGCGUGGAGGUUCAAGUCCUCUUCAAGGCAUG
RNAcentral lists this transfer RNA (83 nucleotides) under Haplomitrium blumei. RNAcentral describes it as "tRNA-Leu". It matches the Rfam family "tRNA". Rfam says of the family: Transfer RNA (tRNA) molecules are approximately 80 nucleotides in length. Lineage: Eukaryota; Viridiplantae; Streptophyta; Haplomitriopsida; Calobryales; Haplomitriaceae. The record is from RNAcentral.